AUCAGAGACCUAUUAUUAGAUCCCCACACGUGUACUUAAUAACAAUAGGAUAGCCUCAGGAGUUCACAUUUGUUAACUGCAUUUUUGUUAGUCUUAUCCGUAAAAGAAGUAUGAAUAUCCUUGUCGUACCAUAAGGUUCAUGAUUUGGUUUUCACAUAAAGAUAGAGGUUGAAUAUCCCAGUUAGAUUACUUAGGUGCCUUAUGAUCCGACCUUGGUUGACCUAUAGUCACGAUGCAGUCACAUAUAUAAUAAAAAAAUACCUAUAUGGUUCAGUCUAUCUUCUCUUUUCUUGCAUAAUUAAA
Molecule: long non-coding RNA, 303 nt
Filed under: Phoenix dactylifera (date palm)
Lineage: Eukaryota; Viridiplantae; Streptophyta; Magnoliopsida; Arecales; Arecaceae
Description: long non-coding RNA (PDAC_LNC022476)
Source: RNAcentral